This 213-nucleotide non-coding RNA is filed under the name Micromonospora rifamycinica. Lineage: Bacteria; Bacillati; Actinomycetota; Actinomycetes; Micromonosporales; Micromonosporaceae. The record is from RNAcentral.
AGGAUCGCGGGCGGUGCUGGUUCGCCCCUCCCGUGCGCGGGUGGGGCGUCGUAAGAGGGAACCCGGUGCGAGACCGGGACUGCCCCGCAGCGGUGAGUGGGAACGACCGCCGUCAACGAAGCACUGGACCGCACGGUCUGGGAAGCGACGGCCAGUAGGCGACCCCGUGUCACGCCCACGAGUCCGAAGACCUGCCAGCGCUGCGCGUACCGC